UACAGAGGGUGCGAGCGUUGUCCGGAAUCACUGGGCGUAAAGGGCGCGUAGGCGGCCUGAUAAGUAGGGGGUGAAAUCCUGCGGCUUAACCGCAGGGCUGCCUUCUAAACUGUCGGGCUCGAGCACAGUAGAGGCAGGGUGGAAUUCCCGGUGUAGCGGUGGAAUGCGUAGAGAUCGGGAAGAACAGUCAAUGGCGGAAGGCGGCCUGCUGGGCUGUUGCUGACGGCUGAGGCGCGACAGCGUGGGGAGCAAACAGG
Molecule: ribosomal RNA, 257 nt
Filed under: uncultured bacterium
Lineage: Bacteria
Description: partial 16S ribosomal RNA
Rfam family: Bacterial small subunit ribosomal RNA
Source: RNAcentral